RNAcentral lists this long non-coding RNA (307 nucleotides) under Helianthus annuus (common sunflower). Its description in RNAcentral is "sRNA HanXRQr2_Chr02g0062911". The record is from RNAcentral. Lineage: Eukaryota; Viridiplantae; Streptophyta; Magnoliopsida; Asterales; Asteraceae.
CAAAAACAAAAAAUAAUCCCUUUUACUCCCUUGAAUUCGACAGCCCCAAACAUCCGUCAUCCUCAAAUUUUCAUCCACUUAAACACCCUAAAAUUUCCCCAUAUUAAGUCAUUUUAAGUUGAUUUAUGGAACUAUCAUGCAUGGAGGACUGUUAGAGCUUACUUUGGAGCUUUCAUCUCAUCAUAAUCUUCAUCCUACAAACCAUUAAUCCUUCGCAAAUUUUAUGAACUUGUUGCUUUUGUUUAAAGUUAUUACGCGCAAAUUGGAUACCCGACUUGCUAGCAUACAUACGGACGCAAAUUCGUGA